This 433-nucleotide ribosomal RNA is filed under the name uncultured bacterium. RNAcentral's name for it is "partial 16S ribosomal RNA". It matches the Rfam family "Bacterial small subunit ribosomal RNA", at positions 29 to 507 of the family's 1533-position model. The record is from RNAcentral.
AGCGAACGCUGGCGGCAGGCUUAACACAUGCAAGUCGAGCGGGCCCUUCGGGGUCAGCGGCAGACGGGUGAGUAACACGUGGGAACGUACCCUUUGGUUCGGAAUAACGCUGGGAAACUAGCGCUAAUACCGGAUACGCCCUUUUGGGGAAAGGCUUGCUGCCGAAGGAUCGGCCCGCGUCUGAUUAGCUAGUUGGUGGGGUAAUGGCCUACCAAGGCGACGAUCAGUAGCUGGUCUGAGAGGAUGAUCAGCCACACUGGGACUGAGACACGGCCCAGAAUCCUACGGGAGGCAGCAGUGGGGAAUAUUGGACAAUGGGCGCAAGCCUGAUCCAGCCAUGCCGCGUGAGUGAUGAAGGCCUUAGGGUUGUAAAGCUCUUUUGUCCGGGACGAUAAUGACGGUACCGGAAGAAUAAGCCCCGGCUAACUUCGUG